This is a long non-coding RNA of Acanthopagrus latus (yellowfin seabream), 462 nucleotides long. RefSeq lists it as uncharacterized. The transcript is spliced from 5 exons. NCBI's taxonomy places the organism in Eukaryota, Metazoa, Chordata, Actinopteri, Spariformes, Sparidae. The record is from RefSeq and is a predicted model, not a curated record.
CUUUACUGGAUCAGUUUGACACCCCUGCUGAUGAGUUUCAUGGUGCCUGCGCAGCACACACACCAAGACUAAUCUAAAAGCAGGUCAUUAACCUGAGGACAAGAGUGGAAAAAGAAGAAUUCAUGCAAAUGCAGAACACAGGACUUAUACAGUUUUUCGGCUGAUGGUCUCACCUGAUUACCAAGGAACUCAUCCAGGUUUCGCAGCUCUCUGGGGUCGGUGAUCUCACGGUCCAGAGAUGAGUUCCACUCUAACACCCGUGUGGCCCGGCUGAUUCGAAUGGUCGGGUUUCGACUGGCCCUCCCACUCCUCUGGCUUGGCUUGUGGUAGUGCAAUCUUAUCAGACAGACCCGGAACCAGCGCUGCAGGAUGAUGAUGUGACGCAUCACUUCUUUGUUGAGAGUGUCUUGGAGCAGCUGCCUCUCCCUCUCCUUGAGGAACACCUGAGUAGAUGAAAGAGAG